This 486-nucleotide ribosomal RNA is filed under the name uncultured bacterium. RNAcentral's name for it is "SSU rRNA". It matches the Rfam family "Bacterial small subunit ribosomal RNA", at positions 26 to 523 of the family's 1533-position model. The record is from RNAcentral.
AGGAUGAACGCUGGCGGCGUGCCUAAUACAUGCAAGUCGAGCGGUAAGGCCUCUUCGGAGGUACACGAGCGGCGGACGGCUGAGUAACACGUAGGAACGUACCCCAAAGUGAGGAAUAACUGUCCGAAAGGGUGGCUAAUGCCGCAUGUGCUCUAAGGAGUAAAGCUUUAUGCGCUUUGGGAACGGCCUGCGUCCGAUUAGCUUGUUGGUGAGGUAAUAGCUCACCAAGGCGACGAUCGGUAGCUGGUCUGAGAGGAUGAUCAGCCACACUGGAACUGAGGCACGGUCCAGACACCUACGGGUGGCAGCAGUUUCGAAUCAUUCACAAUGGGCGAAAGCCUGAUGGUGCGACGCCGCGUGAGGGAUGAAGGCCUUCGGGUUGUAAACCUCUGUCACCGGAGAAGAAACGCUUCAAGUUAACAGUUUGAAGCCUGACUUAACCCGGAGAGGAAGCAGUGGCUAACUCUGUGCCAGCAGCCGCGGUAA